GAAAUGCGAUAAGUAAUGUGAAUUGCAGAAUUCAGUGAGUCAUCGAAUCUUUGAACGCACAUUGCGCCCCCUGGUAUUCCGGGGGGCAUGCCUGUUCGAGCGUCAUUUCACCACUCAAGCCUCGCUUGGUAUUGGGCAACGCGGUCCGCCGCGUGCCUCAAAUCGACCGGCUGGGUCUUCUGUCCCCUAAGCGUUGUGGAAACUAUUCGCUAAAGGGUGUUCGGGAGGCUACGCCGUAAAACAACCCCAUUUCUAAGGUUGACCUCGGAUCAGGUAGGGAUACCCGCUGAACUUAAGC
RNAcentral lists this unclassified non-coding RNA (298 nucleotides) under plant metagenome. RNAcentral describes it as "partial contains 5.8S ribosomal RNA, internal transcribed spacer 2, and large subunit ribosomal RNA". The stretch from base 1 to 105 matches the Rfam family "5.8S ribosomal RNA", at positions 50 to 154 of the family's 154-position model. The record is from RNAcentral.